GUACGCUGGCGGCACGCCUAACACAUGCAAGUCGAACGAAGUAGCAAUACUUAGUGGCAGACGGGUGAGUAACAUGUAGGUAUCUACCCUUUGGCCUGGAAUAACACGAGGAAACUUGUGCUAAUACCGGAUAAGUCUUUACGGAGAAAGCUUUAUGCACCAUUGGAUGAGCCUGCACUUGAUUAGUUUGUUGGUGGGGUAAUGGCCUACCAAGACUGUGAUCAAUAGCUGAUUUGAGAGGAUGAUCAGCCACAUUGGGACUGAGACACGGCCCAAACUCCUACGGGAGGCAGCAGUGGGGAAUCUUGCACAAUGGAGGAAACUCUGAUGCAGCGAUGCCGCGUGAGUGAAGAAGGCCUUUGGGUUGUAAAGCUCUUUCGUCGGGGAAGAAAAUGACUGUACCCGAAUAAGAAGGUCCGGCUA
This 423-nucleotide ribosomal RNA is filed under the name uncultured bacterium. RNAcentral describes it as "bacterial SSU rRNA". It matches the Rfam family "Bacterial small subunit ribosomal RNA", at positions 31 to 499 of the family's 1533-position model. The record is from RNAcentral.